UAUUUGUGGAAAUGGAACACUCGCAUAGUGAUCUCAGAUGUUGAUGGGACGAUAACAAAAUCAGAUGUUCUUGGUCAGUUCAUGCCUUUAGUUGGGAUGGAUUGGUCACAAACAGGGGUUGCACCUUUAUUUUCAGCUAUUAAGGAAAAUGGUUAUCAAUUGCUUUUUCUAAGUGCUCGUGCAAUAUCUCAAGCCUAUCACACUAGACAAUUCCUAGUCAACCUUAAGCAGAAUGGAAAGGCUUUACCAGAUGGUCCUGUAGUUAUAUCCCCUGACGGUCUUUUUCCUUCUUUAUUCCGUGAAGUUAUUAGAAGGGCUCCUCAUGAAUUCAAGAUUGCAUG
This 341-nucleotide unclassified non-coding RNA is filed under the name Hevea brasiliensis (rubber tree). Lineage: Eukaryota; Viridiplantae; Streptophyta; Magnoliopsida; Malpighiales; Euphorbiaceae. The record is from RNAcentral.